Pipistrellus kuhlii (Kuhl's pipistrelle) is the source of this 131-nucleotide small nucleolar RNA. RefSeq annotates it as small nucleolar RNA SNORA51. The transcript has a single exon. NCBI's taxonomy places the organism in Eukaryota, Metazoa, Chordata, Mammalia, Chiroptera, Vespertilionidae. The record is from RefSeq and is a predicted model, not a curated record.
GCAUUCUAGUACUUCCCACAGGCUGUGUUUUUACACUAACUAUAUAGAAAGAAGAGAGGGAGUGAACCCACCCCAUAUACACCCCAGCCUGGACCCUUUGCCUGGUAUGUGUUGUGAAAGGGGGCAAGGGG